Molecule: ribosomal RNA, 443 nt
Filed under: uncultured bacterium
Lineage: Bacteria
Description: bacterial SSU rRNA
Rfam family: Bacterial small subunit ribosomal RNA
Source: RNAcentral
UGAGUAACACGUGAAUAACCUGGCCUCGAUUUCGGAAUAACCCAUGGAAACCUGGGCUAAUACCGGAUACGUAAACCUGUGGCGUCACAUGGUUUUGGAAAGAUACUCUUUCGAUUGAGGAUGGAUUCGCGGCCUAUCAGCUUGUUGGUGAGGUAAUGGCUCACCAAUGCGACUACGGGUAGCCGGCCUGAGAGGGUGGACGGCCACACUGGGACUGAGACACGGCCCAGACUCCUACGGGAGGCAGCGGUGGGGAAUAUUGCGCAUUGGAGGAAAGUCUGACGCAGCGACGCCUCUUGAGGGACGAAGGUCUUCGGAUUGGAAACCUCUUUCAGCAGGGACGAUUCGAAAGUGACGGUUCCUGCAGAAGAAGCCCCGGCUAACUAUGUGCCACCAGCCGCGGUAAUACAUAGGGUGCAAGCGUUGUCCGGAUUUAUUGGGCG